GUGUGUUCUGGUCGUGAUUUACACAGGAGCAAAAAUGGAUUCUUGAUCAAAACCCUAAAUCACAAGAAAUUCAGCCAAAUCAAGGGAAAUUAAGCUAGGAAAUUGGGGCUUUAACUAAAAUCAUGAUCACCUAGCUUAGGGGAUCACAAGUUUGACUCUGACAAGCUAGGUGGGAGCUUGGAAAUGAACGGGUCAAGUGGAUACAAGUUCUAGUAUGAAGCUCGCAAGGAUGCAAGGUGGAUAUCAAGAGUACCCGGAUGAAGAUCAAGCGAAGAGAAAGAACCGAACACAUGAAAAAGAAGCUUCCGCACGGUGUGUCGUCGUAACUUUCAAACGACGACUAAAUUACAUUAUGUUGUAUUAUUUUUAAAUUGUAAAAGUUUUAAUUAAACUGAAAUUUUAAACGCAUUUGUAAUCAUAAUUACAAGUUUAUUUUCGUAAUC
This is a long non-coding RNA of Helianthus annuus (common sunflower), 443 nucleotides long. RefSeq lists it as uncharacterized. NCBI's taxonomy places the organism in Eukaryota, Viridiplantae, Streptophyta, Magnoliopsida, Asterales, Asteraceae. The transcript has 3 exons. The record is from RefSeq and is a predicted model, not a curated record.